Molecule: small nuclear RNA, 338 nt
Filed under: Prolemur simus (greater bamboo lemur)
Lineage: Eukaryota; Metazoa; Chordata; Mammalia; Primates; Lemuridae
Description: 7SK RNA (ENSPSMG00000003449.1)
Rfam family: 7SK RNA
About the family: 7SK was discovered as an abundant small nuclear RNA in the mid-70s but a possible function has only recently been suggested.
Source: RNAcentral
AGUUGUGAGGGCGAUCUGGCUGCGACAUCUGUCACCCCGUUCAUUGAUCGCCAGGGUUGAUUGGGCUGAUCCGGCUGGCGAGGCGGGUGUCCCCUUCCUCCCUCACGGCUCCCUGUGCGUCCCUUCCAAGCUGCGCGCUCGGUGGAAGAGGACGACCUUCCCCGAUAGAGGAGGACCGUCCUUCGGUCAAGGGUAUCUGAGUAGCUGCGUUCCCCUGCUAGAACCGCCAAACAAGCUCUCAAGGUACCGUGCUUUAUAAAUGAACUUUUUUGUUGUUUACUUAAUAUUUUCACAAUGACAGCUAUUUAUGAAUUUUAUGGUAAUAAAAUAAGUGUUUC